GGUUCGGUACCUUAUCUUAGUCACUGUGGCUUCAAUAAAGAGACACCAUACACGGAGCAGCUUAUAAACAAUAGGAAAUUGCCCUGGAGGUGAAGUCCAAGGUCAUGGUGCCAGCAUGGUCUGGUGAGGGCCCUCUUCCCAGUCACGGCCUUCUGGCUGUGUCUUCACGUAGCAGGUGGGCCAAGGGACCUCUCUGGGGUGUCUUCUCUAAGGGCACUAAUCCCAUGGGGCUCUCCCUCCACGGCCUCGUCCCUCCCCUAGGGCCGGGCUCCUGACAGCAUCGCCUUGGGGGGCACGGUUUCAACACACAAAUCUGGGGGAGAGCACGGCACACCUCGGUUCCACUCUGGACCACCAAUGUGGAGUUUUACACGGAAGAAGAGAAAAUUAUCUCCCCCGUGAGCCACUGUCACUUUGGAUUGUCUAAUACAGUCACUUUAUGUCCCUCAGAAUAAGACAACUAACAGCUCCCAGCCUGCAGAGCGCAGGGGACCGCACGGCUGGCAAGCUCUGUCCGAGCACAUCGGUCUGAAAUAUUGGAGUGACAACUGAUCUGUCACACGGUCUGGCAGAAACAAGAUUAAGUGGCAGUUUAAGGAGAAAAAGUCAAUUUUUUUUUUUUUAAAAAAAGAGGGUUUGGAGUUUGUGGGAACACUUCCAGUCACGUGAUUUCGAGCUCACGAGCGCCCUGAGAUCCCUCAUCCCACCCUGGACGGGGAGCAGGGCCGACCCACCGGGCUCCGGCCGGGUCACAUACUCCGUGCUACAGGAGCCCCCAGAGCAGCUGCCCUCCCUCCCAGGAGCUCAGGAGUUGGGGCGCAGAGCCGUGUGGAUGGAAAGUCCUACCCCACUGGGGGGUUCCCCGCAGGGGAGUCGGUGCGGGCAGAGCCCAGGCGAGGGGCGGAGGCUGGGCGAAGCCCGGCCUGAAGGAAGAGCAGGAACCACUCCGGGCCAGGAGAGAAGCCCACAGGCCCAGGGCCGAGCGGGCGCGUGAGGAAGCAGGGGGGUCUGGUCCAGAAAGGACAAAGGGACGGCAAGGAGGAGCUGGAGCCGGCCACCCACUGCGGCCCCCCGGCCACACGCGGUCAUUCACGUGUGCGUGCAUGGACAAGGUGGAAAGCCCCACUCCUCAGCUGCACGGGCCACAGUCCCAGGGGCCAGCAGCCCCCGAGCUGGCCGCAGACGGAUGCUGACCGCCUGGGCCGUGGGAGGCAGAGGCCGUGUCAGGACGAGGGACACAGGCAGGGAGAAGAGGACCCCGCAGGGCUGACGCCGGCCCGUCUCCCCACUCCGGAGCCCGUCUCCCCACUCCGGAGCCCGUGCUCCUUCCACUGAGCCCGCCGUCUGCCUCUGACAGGAGACAGUCACACAGGAUUACUGACUGAGCGGAAGGCAUCUCUGGGCUCAGGGACAUCGACCCCGCCUGGCCCAGGAGGCCACUGCCCUGUCCGCUGUGCCCGGUGGGACGCACGUGCACAUGCUCCACCGAGGAAGGAUGGCCUGCUGUCUGAAGGAAGGGGAGCGAGUCCCUAACCCAGGGGACCCCCGUCUGGGGUCUCGGGCACCGGGCCGAGAAGGGAGAUCGAUGGACCAGGACUCCUGACGGCCGGGCUCACCUCUGGAGGGGCGUGUGUGUGCGCGUGUGUGUUUUGAAAAGGGACAAGGACCUCCAUGCCGUGUCUGAAGCAAUCAGUGUGUCUUGAAAAGGCCUCACUCGGUGGAGGUGGCGGCGAGGUCUGUGAGCGUGUUCGUGCAAAGUGUCUGUGGUCUGGGAAUCUGUCAAACGAAACUCAAUAAAACGCAUCUUCACGGUUGUUUAAAAAGCUUCCGUCCGAAUGUUUCUGGCUAUGGAAUGUAUCCUGCCGGGACCGGGCCUGCAGAAGACGGCUACGUGACCAGGGCAGACAGAGGCGGGUAGAACUCUGAAGCCUUCGAAGCAUCUCCCUGCCGGGGCCGAGCCUGCUCCAGAGGGGCCUGGUCCCCUCAGCCCCGCGGAAGGAAACACAGACACGGCUGGAAGCUCACUGUCAUUUCGUCACACCAGAGGACGUAGCAAAGCUAGUCUAGCAUCGAUACUAUUCGGCCUUGGACAUAAUUACCCUCGCUGGCUUUGUAAAGAGCAAAUAAAACCAUCCGAGUAUACGUGAGGGAAAGUCUGCGGCUACUCCAGGGAGAGGCGGGUGCGACAUGAAGGACCAGGGAAACGUGAGGGAAAAAUGAUAUGACACAACUGUGCCGUCGAUUCAGGCGCCGAAAGCCAGCACGUGCCCUGAGCAGGAAACACCCGCGUGGCGGGGGGCGGCGAGGGAGCAAAGGCGGGAAACGGGAGAGGGGUCGGGGUGGGGCUAACACUUAAAAUUCCCUUCAAUAGAUGAAACUCAGAAAAGAGGAAGGAGGCAUCUUAUCAGCAUAGCUGGACGUACGUCGAUAGGAAAACGUUCAAUAUUUUAAGUAGCGGAAAAGGACAAGGAUGAAGACACAGAAAAGCGUCACAUACGUCAAAUCUGUGUUCUGUGAGAGCAUGAAGUAAUGGACGCGGCGUGACUCAAAUUAACCCACGCACAAAAUCCGCAGCCCCGUCAGUGAACGAGCAGGGGACAGGAAGGCGACACGUGACAAACACACUAACCCCUGCCAAACGCUUUCCCUCCGUCUCGUCUAAAGCGGAAGCGAGGGCUCCUGUAUCUUCACUGUGCACGUUUUCCAUCCAAACGCUGCUUGGGCAUCAAAUAAUUUUGCUCGCUUUUAAAACUUCCGAUAAAUUGCAAAAUGAGAUUUAAUGAGAAAUUUAAUAGCAAAGCACAAAAGGCCUGGGAACCCAAACUAUUUCUUAUGGGUACAGAUCCGCCCAUAAUCUUGUUUUCUUAAUAGUCGUGGGAGCACUUGGGUGCACGCAAAGGACAACUUCACUUCCCGGAUCCCCAAUUAAAGAGGCCCCUGGACCCGGACCUGCGUGUGGGGGGCUGCACCCCACCCGGGCACUAGGGACCGGGGCGCAGGGUAGGGGGUGGUUUGCAAGUGAGUUCCGGGAGGCGGGAGAGGCCCAACAUGGUAUAAGUUUAACCACACUUUAAGUUCAUGGUCCUGAUACAAGCGCAACCACAGAGAAAGACUUAAAAGCGCUACUAUUAUCUGAUAUUGCAACAUGCGAAUGUCCAACUAUCAUUUACUAAGAAAAGUUAUAAAUUUCCUACUUGCCACAUUACGUCAAACAGUACACAUGGCUUUAACAUUCUUAGAUAAAUUGCCAACAUAAAGAACAGCGGUUAGGUAAUGUUAUUAACCGAUGUUACCUUGAUAAAUUUUUAACAGGAAAAAAAAAAAGGAAAGGGAAAAAAAAUAGUUCAGAAGUAACAUCUUUAAAAACUAUAGCUCAGAUCAAAUGGGAAAAGCUUAAGGUAAUAAAUAACUAUGCAUGCUAUCCUUCUAAAAAUGUAAACACCGUGCGAGCCAAAAGCCUAAAAAACUUAAAAAAAAAAAAAGGCUAGAAACCUAAAUGUCUUAUGACUGUGUACACUUGGAAACAUCCCACUAAUAUCUGUCUGCUGCGAGGGUUGCACAGGAAGCUGGUGACGGCCCACAUGUACCUCCCACUGCGGGGAGCGGGCCUCUGACACUCACGGUCACGCUGGGUGUUGACGGGGCUACGGCAGCUCCACUACGCACUUCGACCCAUUAAAAGAAAAUUAUCCCUUGUUCUAAUAACCUGAUUAAAUACAACCAAAUUUCUGCAGAGGUACGAAUGCCAGCUAUGUCCACAUGAAGCUCAAACUUUGAUGAACUCGAUCGGCAAAGUUUCCCUGAUUUUUACAUAAGCAGAGUGCUCGAAUGCAGCCAUUGAGCAAAAGUGCCAGCUCUUCUGACAUUUCAUAUCACUGCAGAAUAUUCCAUUCUACAGAAAUAUGUUUCCGCCACAGGAAAAAAAAAAAAAUCUAACCACUAUCCUGCCAAACCCCAAACAUUCUGUCUCUUAUUUAUAUAGAUCCUCUGUGAAAUUUAACCCUAUGUUCCAUGACUGACCACUGGUAUGAAUCUCACAAAUAAAUAAACUGAAAGUAAAUAGCUAAUCUUACAUGGACUUAAAUCUACUGUAAAACUUUACCAAAAGGUAAUUUCCCUUUACUUGUAUUCUAAAAUAUUCUGUUAAUUAUUGCACGUCAGCUUAGCCCUAAAAUUCCUUGAAGUCACAUGGAGUCUGACUUGUUAGUUUCUUUCUGCAUAUGUCCUUCCUAAAAGAAUACUUUUCCCAGGCAGUUAAAUUAGUCAUGUCCUUGUUUUAACGAAAUUACUACUAAAAACAUAUCAUUUCAGUCCAACUAAAAAUGCACACACUUGUGUUCUCAGCCAAGAUAACUAAUAACCAUCUAUUAAUAAUUUAGUCGGACAUUCGAUCCGUGAAUUCACGUCCACUAACCACUGGCCCGUGUGCUCGCAGGAAGGUGCUCGUAGGCCUGAUUUUAUAACGUGAAUCCUCCCUAACUCAUCGCCCCCGACCAGCUGUCCGGCACAAGAACGCCUGCUAGUCCGGUCGACAAGUUCAUGGCACCGUCGUUCACGACCAUGUGGGAGAACUGACCUCUGACUGCGAGUCUGAUUUGAUAGCCACCGCCCCAGUCCCCGAGAGGCCACGUUCACUCCCCAGAGAGCAGGACAAGCUGUGCCUGGUUCUCCAGCGGCGGAGGAAGCAGCCAUUGCCUGAAGGGAAUCCAACUGCCGCCAGUGGGGACCAGAGCCAGAAGCUUCAUACCCAUACCGCCCUUCCUGGUAGGCGAGCAAGACACCUAAAUUAUGUAAAGGACGCAAACAGGCCAAGGCCACGUCUCUCCUCAGAUUUUAACUCGCAAACGCGUCCUGGUAAACGUGUCGUUCUUGUCUGGAAAUUACACGUGCAUCGAUAUUUUCUUGAGGUCUCUGCCUUAAACAUUCUAAAACAAAUGACAGUUGAUAAAAUCAUUGGGACUCCUAAAGGUGAAAAGCCACGUGCCUACGUUUCCUGGACAAGGACGUUUAAACAAGCAGAUAGGAUGUGAAUGUGGGAAAAGGAGUCAGAAGCACCAGCAAUUGCAAUUUCAUGUGAUGUAGCCGAAGUCCUCAGUUCCCGGGGGGCGCGGUCGUGACGGCCACCAGAGCCCAGAAAGGCACCGUGGACACCGGACCUGCAGCACCGGGCGGGACGGGGGGCUCAGUGCUAGGGGUCGCCAUCCCACUUCUACCAUCAGAGUCCUUUAAAGGAUUCUGCAAAUAUUCUGGAUGCAGUUUUGCUGGCCUCUUCGAUAUUCUCUCCUUCAUGUCCAUUUAUAAGGUGACAGUGACCAAACGAUUCAGUCUCCUUAAAUAGGCUCACUGAACAGGCGACCCAAGCUGCCGAUUUCAAGGCAAUUCUGCUUCCAUUUCCCUAUGCCCUGAUGGGUCGAUGCCCAGGAACAGGAAGAGGGAUCCCCCACUUCUUCCCCUGGGGGGCGGGGGAGAUGUUUGCUCCAAGGGAAUUACAUAACCACCCCGAAGAGCAAAACAAAACAGCUCUCGUCACAGCCACUGGUCUUCGGCAUCUGACCCACUGCCCUGCCUCACUUUUUCCUGGCAUUAAAGGGAGAGUUUAAAACAAUAAAUAAAAAACAGCCAGUUUGAAAACCGCUUGCAGACUCCGGCAACGCAGCGCCUAAGGGCGCAGGGCAGAGUGAGUCACUGGAGCACGACAGCAAAGAGAAGAGAUUAGUUGUCCCCAGAGCCAGCGCCUGGUUCAAGACCAGCUGCUAGAGCGGACAGCGGGCCCUUCGGGAGGGAGCAGGUGCGGCCCGCCCGCCACCAUUCCAUUUGCGGGACUCAUGACACAAGCGCUCCAGGCCGGCGACAGAGCCGGGCCCAGGACUGCGCGCCACCCGCAGCGCCCAGGCCACGCGGCCUGCUUGGGUCGCGCGGCUCAAACUCGGGCUCCGCGUCCGGGGAACGCGCAGGGCUGUUUCUCGAGUCCGAGGGAUGUCACUCUUUCUGCGAGUAAAAUGGAGGUGGGGAGCCCAGGACACCCAGAGUCACUCCAGCUGCCCAGGACCGGACAAAAAUGCAGGGAAGAGUGGGCUUCGAAGACACCGAGCUCACGGCGGCGCUUCGUAACUGCAGAUUCCGACCCAGUGUGUGCGAGGUGGGCCCUGGAGCCCGCCCUUCUCACCAGCUCGCCGCCCCACCUUGCGUAGCGAGGUUCGGGGUCCGAACGGCCAGCUUCGGGCCUGGUCCUCUCACUGGCCUAACUCCCGAGAGCGAGUCACUUCUCCCUCUAGGCUUCAGUUUCCUCCUCUGCAAACAACUCUCAUUUCACUCCUGCCCUUAGAGGAAGAGCUUUCGGCCUCUCACCACUGAGAACGUUGGCUGCGGGCGCGUCGCAUACACCCUUCGUCAGAUCGAGACGUGACCGCACUCCCAGUGCUUCCCAGAGCAGCUGCACGCUUACUGCCUAAGGAAGAGUCACAUCAUGGCCGAGGGAGGAGCAGCUGCCAGAAAGGAUGGGCCCCCUCACCAGCCUCGGGAUCAUCUUGGGUGCUUCUCACCCGUGCUCAGCAGAAUCACACUUCCUUCCGGGGCCUUGCUAAAACGAAAGAGCAGGACGGAACAUCAGACCAGUGGCUGCCGCAGGGCUCCUGUGUUCAGGUUGGCGAUCCCAUUUUUUUUCUUUUGUUUUACUCAUCGAAAGAAAAACAGAGAUGAGAAGAGGCUUCUCAGCCAGCCGGGGCGCCAAGGCAAACAGGCAUAUGCCGAAAUCGUGCGCUGUGCUCCUUCCCACACUCGCAGGUUAAAAAUUCACCCGAAUAAACAAAUCUCCCCUGCA
This is a long non-coding RNA of Pteropus alecto (black flying fox), 6820 nucleotides long. RefSeq lists it as uncharacterized. The transcript is spliced from 3 exons. Lineage: Eukaryota; Metazoa; Chordata; Mammalia; Chiroptera; Pteropodidae. The record is from RefSeq and is a predicted model, not a curated record.